Molecule: long non-coding RNA, 872 nt
Organism: Grammomys surdaster
Lineage: Eukaryota; Metazoa; Chordata; Mammalia; Rodentia; Muridae
Exons: 4
Source: RefSeq, a predicted model, not a curated record
CUGAGCCCUGUGUGGAUGCUUGCAGCACCCAGCUGACAGAGAAGGGUAGAGUCCAGCCCCACAGCCUCAGUUUGGUCUCCAGAGAUCGAGAAAUGCACCAAACAGAACACUCAGCAUAUACUUCACAAAGGCCCAGCCCGAGCCGAUCAAGGCAAUGGUGAUGAAGAGAAGGGCGCCCUUCAGCCUGGGAGACCAGGGGGUUCUGAUGAUGAGGUGGGGACCCAGACCUCCCCGCCUGCCUCCCCCACCUGUGUGCAGAGCCAGGCAGGCGACUCACAGAGCACGGACACCCAGAAGAUGCCUGCAGCCAGGAAGCAGGCAGACAUGAUCAGGUAGAGUUUGAAGAGGGGGAUUUCGGCCGCUGACAAGUAGCCUUCUGGAUUCUUCUCUCGGAUCAUUACCUGUAGGAGAAGGGGGUUGACAACGCAGAGCCUCAGUUGGUCCUGUCUCUCAAAUGGGUACACAGCCUUAAACUGGAAGCCAGAGGACUGGCACUGGGACCCCAGAAGAACCAACACCCAAGGAUGACCCAGUGUCUGUCAAGGGAGUAUUUGCACAGGGCCUUCCACACUUCCAGAAGGCUCAGAACAGCUGAACACUGCACACCAGGGAUACAGAGCUGUUAUAUGACACUGAUUAGGAGACACCAGGAGAAAAGUGACCACAGUAAACCAACACCCAUUGUGACUGGAUCAUUCAGGGCAUAUUGUGUCAUCUGUCUGUGUGUAGGCCAAGGACAGCUUCAGGUGGCACCUUGAGACACAUGUCUUUAAGGUAGGAGCCAACUGACUCCUGAAACUUGUCCUCUGACUGCCACAUGCACUGCACAAACACUCACAUUCAAAAUAAACGUACAACACGUCUCUAGGUCA